RNAcentral lists this ribosomal RNA (814 nucleotides) under uncultured phototrophic eukaryote. Its description in RNAcentral is "bacterial SSU rRNA". It matches the Rfam family "Bacterial small subunit ribosomal RNA", at positions 494 to 1316 of the family's 1533-position model. The record is from RNAcentral.
CGGCUAACUCCGUGCCAGCAGCCGCGGUAUACGGGGGAUGCAGCGUUAUCCGGAAUCAUUGGGCGUAAAGCGCCUGUAGGUUGUUUAAUAAGUCUGUUGUUAAAGACUAGGGCUCAACCCUAGGAAAGCAAUGGAAACUACUAGACUUGAGUAUGAUAGGGGUAGAGGGAAUUUCUAGUGUAGCGGUGAAAUGCGUAGAUAUUAGGAAGAACACCGGUGGCGAAGGCGCUCUACUGGAUCAUUACUGACACUCAGAGGCGAAAGCUAGGGUAGCAAAAGGGAUUAGAUACCCCUGUAGUCCUAGCCGUAAACGAUGGAUACCAGAUGUUGCGUUUAUUAUGCAGUAUCGUAGCUAACGCGUUAAGUAUCCCGCCUGGGGAGUACGCUCGCAAGGGUGAAACUCAAAGGAAUUGACGGGGGCCCGCACAAGCGGUGGAGCAUGUGGUUUAAUUCGAUGCAACGCGAAGAACCUUACCAGGGCUUGACAUACUACAGAUCUUUUUGAGAAAGAAGAGUGCCUUCGGGAAUGUAGAUACAGGUGGUGCAUGGCUGUCGUCAGCUCGUGUCGUGAGAUGUUGGGUUAAGUCCCGCAACGAGCGCAACCCUCGUUUUUAGUUGCCAAUUUAUUGGGAUCUCUAGAAAGACUGCCGGUGACAAACCGGAGGAAGGUGAGGAUGACGUCAAGUCAGCAUGCCCCUUAUGUCCUGGGCCACACCAUCGUGCUACAAUGGUAAAGACAAAGAGUCGCCAAUUCGCGAGAAUGAGCUAAUCUCAUAAACUUUAWCUMAGUUCGGAUUGUAGGCUGCAACUCCCC